Molecule: long non-coding RNA, 3833 nt
Filed under: Olea europaea subsp. europaea
Lineage: Eukaryota; Viridiplantae; Streptophyta; Magnoliopsida; Lamiales; Oleaceae
Source: RNAcentral
CUUCUCUUUAUACAACCCAAAGGACUCCAAUAAUUUUUCUUGGACUCACAGACUAGGAAAAUGAGUUCUAGGGAUAGAAAACAAGAAUGAAGUUUUCAUAUGGGCAUUAUUACAUUACAGAAAGUUCAUUGAAAAACUUGUCCACAGAACACUUUCAUCACUAGCAAUAAUCAAGAUUUUGUGCCUGUACUUCUUGAUAUCAAUGAAAAUGGAAAGAGGAAGAGAAUCUGCCUUCUGCAUUAUCACAUUUCUUUGCUGUUGGAGCACUGUAAUUGGUUUGCUCUCUCCGAAAGGCAUAAACUUUGAAGGUAAAACUGAUUCCCGCAUUUUAUACUAUCUUAUUAACUUCUGAAAAUCUGAGAACAUCCCAAAUGAAUAUUCUGCCAUAGCUGGUAUUCAAGAAUCGGUCCAUGAGAUAUUGGUAUUUUUGUAUUCAGUGCAAGCUUUAAUGGGCAUAAGAGCUGGUUUGAAGGAUCCUCGUGGGGUUCUUGAUAACUGGGAUGGGGAUGCUGUUGAUCCAUGUAGCUGGACUAUGGUCACUUGUUCUUCUGAGAGUCUUGUUAUUGGCCUGUAAGCGUUCUGCCUAAGCAAAACCUUUUCUUUUUAUACUGUAAUAUGUUAUACAGAAGCCCUCAAAUCAGGUUUUAGAGAAAAAAAAAAUUACAAAGGAGGCUUAUGGAGUUAAUAGAUUAUGUUGUGCACUGUGCAGAGGAUCUCCUAGUCAAAGUUUAUCUGGAAUUCUUUCUCCAAGCAUAGGAAAUUUGACAAAUCUUCAAAUUAUGUAAGUAGAAAGUGUAGAUAAAUUGUUAAGGGGUUUCGUAAUUUGUUUUUUCCCCUUAUGUAACUUGUAUGAGAUUUUGGCAGACUUUUGCAGAACAAUAACAUUACAGGAUCAAUCCCAACAGAGCUAGGAAGGCUCUCAAAGCUUAAAACACUUGAUCUUUCGAAUAAUUUCUUGAUCGGUAGAAUUCCUCCUUGUUUUGUCCAACUGAACAGUCUCCAAUACAUGUAAGGACUGUCUUUGUGCUGCAGAAUCGGGGACUUGGAAUUGGAUAUUUCAUUGAAAAUCAGUUUAUAUUCCUCGCUAUUGAACUUGGCUAUAUUCCUAUGUUGGUCUCACAUGGGUAUUUUCAAUGCAUUAGGAGGCUCAACAAUAACAGUCUAUCUGGAGAGAUUCCGAUGGCAUUAGCCAACAUGACACAACUUUCUAAUGUGUAAUUCUCUUUUACCUCUUAAUCAACUACCGACAUUCUUCGUACAAAUAAUAUAUUGAAAUUUGUUGUGUUUGCUUUAUUCAGAGAUUUGUCGUACAAUAACUUGAGUGGCCCUGUACCUCAUUUUCCUUAUAAGACUUUCAAGUAAGCUACUUCCCAAAUCUAGAUGUGUUUCCUAAAGAAAAUUAAGAUUGCUGAGAACUUUUUUUGUUUAAAUUUCAUUGCAGCAUUGUUGGAAAUCCUUCAAUAUGUGCUGCAGGGUCAGAGCCCGAGUGUGCAGGAAUAACAUUGAUGCCUAUGUCUAUGCCCUUGAACACUUCAGGAAGUAUGGAAUAACCUCAAAUGAUUUUUACUAAGGGAGUGUUUGAUAGCAUGAAAAUGGCAAAAAAAAAGAUGGAAUUAGAAUUGGAAACUUGGAAUUUUCCUUGUUUUAGUGGAAUUUGAAUUCUCACCAUAUAUGGUAAGAAUUCAAAUUCCACCCUACUGUAGCGACUUUUUUUUUUCUUUUUUUGGUAAUUGAAAUCAAUUUUAAGAAUUAUUGUAAAAAAUAUUUUUCUUUAAUUGACAAUUUCCAUGUAAAACAAAGCUAAAUGAACAUAAAAAAAACACUUUUAUUUCAACAUUUUUCACCUGGAAAAUUAUACUAAUCAAAUGCAAUAAUUUACAAUUCACAGGAAAACAAUUCUAGGCAAUUCAAUUUCCUGGAAUUCAUUUUCUAGGCAAUUCAACUCCAUCUUUGCAAUCAAACGGACCCUAAAUUUUGUUUCAUCGAACUUUUAUUGAUAAUUAAUGUCCUCCUUCAACCAAUUGUCUUAUCCUUACCUUAAUUUCCAUGCCUCCUAUAGAUGUUCUUCAUUCUGGGAAAUCAAAAGGUCACAAGCUAACUCUUGCACUCGUUUCAAGCGUCGCUUGCAUCUGUUUACUUAUCCUAGGAUUUGGGCUGUUACUGUGGACAAGGCACAGACAUAAGAAACAAAAAUUCUUCGAUAUUAAAGGUUUAUUCGGCUAGUUCAAUUCUUUUAACUAUGAUUUCUCUACUUUUCCUUUUCUUUAACUACCUAUUACUUCAAAAUUAUAGAUGGAAAACAUGAGGCAGUUUCGCUUGGAAAUUUAAGGAUGUUCCAGUUUAGGGAACUUCAGACAGCAACCAACAACUUUAGCAGUAAAAACAUUUUGGGAAAAGGUGGAUAUGGACAUGUCUACAAGGGCUAUUUACGAGAUGGAACUGCUGUGGCUGUGAAAAGGCUGAAAGAUGGUAGUGCCAUUGGAGGAGGGAGACAAUUCCAGACAGAAGUCGAGAUGAUCAGCCUAGCUGUUCAUCGGAACCUCCUUAGGCUGUACGGAUUCUGUAUGACUCCAACAGAAAAGCUAUUGGUUUACCCUUACAUGUCCAAUGGAAGCGUUGCUUCUCGUCUCAAAGGUACACAUAUUCUAGGACUUAUCAUUACUCAGUUGUGCUUUCAGAAUCUUGAAAUUGCAAGAAGAUUAGAUUGUGCUGAAGAGUAAUAAAACAAUAUAAUGCUGAUUAGGCAUUCCAUUUAACUUGAACAGCAAAACCAGUCCUUGACUGGGGCACAAGAAGAGGAAUAGCCUUAGGUGCUGCUCGGGGACUGUUAUAUCUCCACGAGCAAUGUGAUCCAAAGAUAAUUCACAGAGACGUAAAGGCUGCAAAUAUACUCCUUGACGACUACUGUGAAGCAGUGGUAGGAGAUUUUGGGCUAGCAAAGCUUAUGGAUCAUCAAGAUUCACACGUUUCAACCGCUGUACGUGGCACAGUAGGGCAUAUAGCCCCAGAAUAUCUCUCCACUGGCCAGUCCUCUGAGAAGACAGACGUAUUUGGAUUUGGGAUCCUUCUACUUGAAUUGAUCACUGGAGAAAGAGCACUGGAAUUUGGCAAAGCAGCUAACCAAAAAGGCGCAAUGCUUGAUUGGGUGAGAGCACACAACACGAACUUGCAUUCUCUUAACAAAUUCGAUUCCAUUCUUGUGUUUUUCUUACUUUCAAGGAUGUCUAAAAUAUGCAUCAGGUGAAGAAGCUUCAUCAAGAGAAGAAACUGGACACGUUUGUCGAUAAAGAUUUGAAGAACAACUAUGAUAGGAUUGAGCUAGAGGAAAUGGUUCAAGUGGCACUUUUAUGCACACAGUAUGUUCCAAGCCACAGGCCUAAUAUGGCUGAAGUUGUCCGUAUGCUAGAAGGAGAUGGCCUUGCAGAAAGAUGGGAAGUUUCUCAAAGAUUAGACACAAACAAGUAUAAAACGCGAGAACUUUCCUCAUCGGAACGAUUUUCGGACUUAACUGAUGAUUCUUCAUUGCUUGUUCAAGCCAUAGAACUCUCUGGUCCGAGGUGAAUCAACUACACAUGUUAAUUUUGUUAAACGCAGACCACAAUUUCUCAAAGGGGAAGUUCAUAGCAAAGGCUAUAAAGAACUUUGAAUUCCUUCUUUUACAUAAUUUUUUUUUUUUUUUUGGGUUAAUGUUCUUCGGAGGAUUACGUUUGAAUUAGCUACUUGUCUGGAGACAUAUGCCCAAUAUGAUAAGCUUGUUAGUGAAAGUCGAUGCAAUAUUAUAUCGAUUUAUUCAAUAAGACAAAUUUUUAUUGCAAUUAAGAAAGUCUAAGCAA